RNAcentral lists this ribosomal RNA (579 nucleotides) under uncultured rumen bacterium. RNAcentral's name for it is "bacterial SSU rRNA". It matches the Rfam family "Bacterial small subunit ribosomal RNA", at positions 188 to 754 of the family's 1533-position model. The record is from RNAcentral.
CAUGAUCCUGAUACCAAAGGCGGAGCAAUCCGUCACCUGAGGAUGGGCCUGCGUCUGAUUAGGUAGUUGGUGAGGGUAACGGCCCACCAAGCCGACGAUCAGUAGCCGGUCUGAGAGGAUGAACGGCCACAUUGGGACUGAGACACGGCCCAGACUCCUACGGGAGGCAGCAGUGGGGAAUCUUCCGCAAUGGGCGAAAGCCUGACGGAGCAACGCCGCGUGAGUGAAGAAGGUCUUCGGAUCGUAAAGCUCUGUUGUCGGGGACGAAGGGGCAGAUCAGGAAAUGGGUCUGCUUAGACGGUACCUGACGAGGAAGCCACGGCUAACUACGUGCCAGCAGCCGCGGUAAUACGUAGGCGGCAAGCGUUGUCCGGAAUCAUUGGGCGUAAAGGGAGCGCAGGUGGGACGGUAAGUCUUUCUUAAAAGUGCGGGGCUCACCCCCGUGAGGGGAAAGAAACUAUCGUUCUUGAGUGCAGGAGAGGAAAGCGGAAUUCCUAGUGUAGCGGUGAAAUGCGUAGAUAUUAGGAAGAACACCAGUGGCGAAGGCGGCUUUCUGGACUGUAACUGACACUGAGGCUC